This is a non-coding RNA of Schistosoma curassoni, 45 nucleotides long. NCBI's taxonomy places the organism in Eukaryota, Metazoa, Platyhelminthes, Trematoda, Strigeidida, Schistosomatidae. The record is from Rfam.
AUCCAGCUGAUGAGUCCCAAAUAGGACGAAACGCGCGUCCUGGAU